AAGGUUAUAGGUUAAAACUAAGAAAAACCAUCGACCUUCAAAGUCGAAAAUGAGUAAGUCUAACCUUG
This 68-nucleotide transfer RNA is filed under the name Odontoglaja guamensis. RNAcentral's name for it is "tRNA-Trp". Lineage: Eukaryota; Metazoa; Mollusca; Gastropoda; Cephalaspidea; Aglajidae. The record is from RNAcentral.